This 253-nucleotide ribosomal RNA is filed under the name uncultured bacterium. RNAcentral describes it as "partial 16S ribosomal RNA". It matches the Rfam family "Bacterial small subunit ribosomal RNA", at positions 524 to 776 of the family's 1533-position model. The record is from RNAcentral.
UACGUAGGUGGCGAGCGUUGUCCGGAAUUACUGGGUGUAAAGCGCGUGUAGGCGGGAGGCCAAGUCUGUGGUGAAAUCGCUCGGCUUAACUGGGCGGGGUCCAUGGAAACUGGUCACCUGGAGGUCGGUAGAGGCAAGUGGAAUUCCCGGUGUAGUGGUGAAAUGCGUAGAGAUCAUGAGGAAGACCAGUGGCGAAGGCGGGUCUCUGGACAGUUCCUGACACUGAGGCACGAAGGCCAGGGGAGCAAACGGG